UGGAAAGUUCCAAUAACAAGCCAUGUUUGCUAUCGAAGGACAAACCUAAAUAAGAAUGGAGAAGCUCAUAACCAAUAAGAUAAAUCAAGGCUGAACGAUGAACUAUGUACAAUACUAAAAAUUGAAGAUUCACCAAAAGAGAAUGAAAGAAACACUGGAUUGAAAAUCAGGAGAUACCAUAUGACUUCCACAUGCUGAGAGUGUUUUAGGCUGUAACCUGCAAUGAAGAUUUUACAAUGUUCGAGCAAUCCAAUAACCAGUGCUUAAAAUGCAACAGUAAACACUUUACUCAGAUAAGACUGGAUUACAAAUCAAGAUUUCAACUCAAAUACUGCACAGGAAUAGGAAAGUCAGUGGGUUUUUCCCCUAAAAUAUAUUGUUCUCAUUUCAAAAGAAACAUCCAAGCAGUAAAUCAAUAAAUGUUAAUUGAAAAACUGGGCAAUAGGAAGUAAAUGGGUUAAGAGUUGUUGCUUGAUAUUUAUCUUUUCACUUACAUUUUGCUUCUGCAUUCUAAAUAAUUUAUUUCUCUGACACUGAAGUUUCUAGAUACUUUAGAUUCUACAAUUAUAUAACACCUUUUCUCAAAAGAGCUUAGCUUCAUUUUUAAAAUUAUUCUAAUUAAUAUUUCUAAGAUACAAGCAAAUAAUUUUAGAAAUCUAAGUAUCUAACAACUGCAAUGAUGGUCUUCAAGGAGAUCAAAACAAUAUUAUAAAGUUCAAAUUCAGAAAACACAUUAACUGUUUCUAUGUAGGUCAACCUAAAUAUACACUUGUUAUCUCUCACAUUUCCAAUUACCAGCCAGUUUAUUGGUGUGAAUGACCAAUUCCAGAGAGUCUGAUUUCCAUAUCAAAGGUAACAGAACAUAUGUACAGUAGCUAUGUGAAUUCGGGUUUUUACUGCUUCCAAGAUUCCACGACGACAGCUAACAAUGAGUAUCAAGAACUAGCAGAUUUAGGAUAAAUGUAUUCGAAUACCUUAAUUUUCUAAACACCGGAAAAAAUCAUAUCAACUCCUCUGCUCGAAAGUCUCUCUCAUAGGAAAACAAGCAAACUGUUCCCAUAAG
Molecule: long non-coding RNA, 1063 nt
Organism: Phascolarctos cinereus (koala)
Lineage: Eukaryota; Metazoa; Chordata; Mammalia; Diprotodontia; Phascolarctidae
Source: RefSeq, a predicted model, not a curated record